This 351-nucleotide long non-coding RNA is filed under the name Elaeis guineensis (African oil palm). Its description in RNAcentral is "long non-coding RNA (EGUI_LNC056819)". Lineage: Eukaryota; Viridiplantae; Streptophyta; Magnoliopsida; Arecales; Arecaceae. The record is from RNAcentral.
UCUAGUCUUUGCCAUGAUCGCUCGUAUUGUGCCCCCUAUCUAGCGUGUCAAUCUGUUGUGGCCAAUCCCCUAUUACGCUUGUUACUGAUGAAGAGCCCCUAUAAAAUGAAGUCCACACUGACUAGAAUUAUAUCCGACAGAGAUCCUUCGAUGUUUAAGUCAGUAAGGAGAGAUGAAUGUCAGAUAAGUAUUUAGAGAAAUAGAGUUUCAGCUCUCAAAAAAUUUUACCAAAUGCUGUUCAUUUACCUCCUUUUAUAGACGAAUAGUUGGUAACCAUCUAUAAUGGUUAGACAUGUGGUCCCGCUUGUUCUGGUAUUAUGUGAUUGUGGGAUUGAUGGUUAUACCCACCAC